This 1585-nucleotide ribosomal RNA is filed under the name uncultured bacterium. Its description in RNAcentral is "16S ribosomal RNA". It matches the Rfam family "Bacterial small subunit ribosomal RNA". The record is from RNAcentral.
AGAGUUUGAUCCUGGCUCAGAACGAACGCUGGCGGCGUGGAUAAGACAUGCAAGUCGAGCGCUGAUUACAGGGUAGCAAUAUUCUGUGGUCGGAGCGGCGCAAGGGUGCGUAACACGUGGGCAAUCUGCCGUGAAGUCGGGGACAACUUGCUGAAAGGCGAGCUAAUACCGGAUACGAAACUUGGGAGGCAUCUCCUGAUUUUCAAAGUUGGGGACCGUAAGGCCUGACGCUUCAUGAUGAGCCCGCGGCCUAUCAGCUAGUUGGUGAGGUAACGGCCCACCAAGGCUAAGACGGGUAGCUGGUCUGAGAGGACGACCAGCCACACUGGAACUGAGACACGGUCCAGACACCUACGGGUGGCAGCAGUCGAGAAUUUUUCACAAUGGGCGAAAGCCUGAUGGAGCGACGCCGCGUGGGGGAUGAAUGGCUUCGGCCCGUAAACCCCUGUCAUUUGCGAUCAAACCUCAUUAUUUAAAAGAUGAUGAGCUGAUAGUAGCGAAAGAGGAAGGACGGCUAACUCUGUGCCAGCAGCCGCGGUAAUACAGAGGUCCCAAGCGUUGUUCGGAUUCCACUGGGCGGUAAAGGUGCGUAGUGGCGAGGUUAAGUCGGAUUGUGAGAUGCCUUCGGAGUCUCAACUCCGAGUUGGCAUUGGGAAACUACCUUGCUUCGAGGGUUGGAGGAGGCGACCUUGGAAUUCUCUCGAGUGUAGCAGUGGAAUUGCGUAGAUAUUCCGAGAAGGCACACUCCAGCUGGCGAGGGCGAUAGCCUGGCACAGCUCUCUGACAGUUGAGCGCCAUGACAUGCUGAGGGGCAGCAACCGGCAUUAAAUCGCCUUUGGUAGUUCCUUAGCCGUUAAUCGGGUGCCAUGUUUGCUUGUAAAAGGUUAUUCGACCCCUUAGCCGUGGCGUCGCACAACGGUUAGACAUGCCGCCUGGUAGAAUGUCAUAGUCCGCAUGAUUAAAAUUCAAAGAAAUUGACGGGGGCCUGCCACAAGCGGUGGAGUAUGUGGCUCAAUUCGGUGCCAACCGCGGAGGACCCUUCCCUGCCCUUGACAUGUACGUAGUAGAAGGUUGAAACCCUGACGAGCUCCGCAAAGAGCAGCGUACACAGGUGCUGCAUGGCUGUCGUCAAGCUCGUGUCGUGAGAUGUUGGGUUAAGUCCCGCAACGGAGCGCAACCCCUGUGUCCUGUUGCCAAACAGAUGAAAGUCUGGAGCACUCUGGACAGACUGCCUCGCUUAAACGAGGAGGAAGGUGGGGAUGACGUCAAGUCAGUAUGGCCCUUACGGCCAGGGCUGCACACGUACUACAAUGCCCGGCACAAAGGGAAGCAAGAUCGUAAGAUGGAGCAAAUCCCCAAAAACCGGGCCCAGUUCAGAUUGUCGUCUGCAACUCGACGGCAUGAAGCUGGAAUCGCUAGUAAUGGCGCAUCAGCUACGGCGCCGUGAAUACGUUCCCAGGCCUUGUACACACCGCCCGUCACAUCAUGAAAGCCGUUUGUACCCGAAGUCGUCGUGUUAACCCGCAAGGGAGACAGAUGCCGAAGGUAUGGAUGGUGAUUGGGAUGAAGUCGUAACAAGGUAACC